This 497-nucleotide ribosomal RNA is filed under the name uncultured bacterium. RNAcentral's name for it is "partial 16S ribosomal RNA". It matches the Rfam family "Bacterial small subunit ribosomal RNA", at positions 28 to 507 of the family's 1533-position model. The record is from RNAcentral.
GAUGAACGCUGGCGGCGUGCCUAAUACAUGCAAGUCGAGCGAACAGGCGAGGAGCUUGCUCCUCUGACGUUAGCGGCGGACGGGUGAGUAACACGUGGAUAACCUACCUAUAAGACUGGGAUAACUUCGGGAAACCGGAGCUAAUACCGGAUAAUAUAUUGAACCGCAUGGUUCAAUAGUGAAAGACGGUUUUGCUGUCACUUAUAGAUGGAUCCGCGCCGCAUUAGCUAGUUGGUAAGGUAAUGGCUUACCAAGGCGACGAUGCGUAGCCGACCUGAGAGGGUGAUCGGCCACACUGGAACUGAGACACGGUCCAGACUCCUACGGGAGGCAGCAGUAGGGAAUCUUCCGCAAUGGGCGAAAGCCUGACGGAGCAACGCCGCGUGAGUGAUGAAGGUCUUCGGAUCGUAAAACUCUGUUAUUAGGGAAGAACAAAUGUGUAAGUAACUAUGCACGUCUUGACGGUACCUAAUCAGAAAGCCACGGCUAACUACGUG